RNAcentral lists this ribosomal RNA (2595 nucleotides) under Capsicum baccatum. RNAcentral describes it as "bacterial LSU rRNA". The stretch from base 1091 to 2580 matches the Rfam family "Eukaryotic large subunit ribosomal RNA", at positions 1889 to 3399 of the family's 3401-position model. The record is from RNAcentral. Lineage: Eukaryota; Viridiplantae; Streptophyta; Magnoliopsida; Solanales; Solanaceae.
GGAAACCCAGUGACGGUGUAAACAAUGGACCGUCAGACCUGCGAUAAAUUGUCGCUUGAUCUGUCAACAAAAACACAGAGAAUCUGAGUUUGAAUUUUAAAACCCCAGUUUUGUAAUCCUAUAAAUACCAAGUGUUAGGUUUUUCUCAUAACUCUUGUCUUCAGUUUCAUACUUUCUCCUCUACUGAGAGCUUUGUACUACUUUUCAUUGAGAUUUGAAUAUAGAGAUUGAGAGUUGAUUAUUAUUUUUCAUAUUCUUGAUCAAAGAUUUAUAAGAACAAUAUUGCAACUUUUGUAAGUACUCAUCUGAAGUUAUUUAUGAAUAGUUAAUAGAACUUUGAUUUCUUAUAUGGAGAGGAGCAGUUAAACUCCCAUAACUAGGGUUAUGGUAGCCUUGAUGUAGAGAACUCUUUUGGGGUUAUGAAUGGGUUUGAUUGCUAACAUCUAUCGAAAUUUCAUGAAUCUUUAUUUUUCUUAGUGACAUCUCUUGGUUGCAAACUUAAGAAGUGAGCCCUUGAACUCCACUUGUCUGACAAAAAAGUGGAUAUUAGGAAAAGAAGUGAUUCACAUGAACUCCAUAGGUUUACCCUAUGGGUUAAUAGGUUGAUGCCUUAACAGGAUCAACCCUCAUGAGAUUGUUAUUGAAUAAUGCAUGAAUCCUUUUAGUUUAAUACAAGUAAAGGGUGAAAAACACAUUAGGUUUAGAAACGCAUGGGUAAUCCUUAGAAUUCAAUAAUUCUUACGGUCGGAUACAUAAGUUAAAAUUCAAACAAGAAGUCACCACACUAAUUGUUUGAACAUCCUGGUGAGCAUAACACUAGUUAAUUCAUUCUCCUUUAAAUUACAUCUACAUUUACUCUCAGUAGCUGGACUUUUGUAGGACACAAAUAUAAACGAGCACCAUUAAUAUUUCCAAGCUCCCUUUAUUUUGAAACCUCAGAUCAAUAGUCUAAUAAUAAUAACAUCAUUCAGUGAACACUGUAUUCGCUGUGGAAUUUGACACCCAACCCAAUUGUGUUCUAUAUUUGAUAGGGACCGUUUACUCUCUCAUAAGAAUGGUAUAAUUUGGGGGUAUCAAACAACCUCUGGUCGAUGGAACAAUGUAGACAAGAAAAGUUGGCAAAACAGAUUCGUAACUUCGAUAAAAGGAUUACCUAUGAGGGAUGGGAAUGGGGGUCCCAGACCUGAGCUUGUAGGCUAUCGGUGGACUACUCGAGUGGCUCCUGCAAUAGAAGUGCAUCGCCACAUGUCUAUCGGGGGACGAACGGGGAACGAUUUCUUCUAGGGCCUUCCCCACGUAUCGAAUAGCCAACUCAAAACUCGUACAUACAAGGGGAAUUUGACUUUUUAAGUAAAACGAAGCUUUGAAAUAGUCCUAAUAGAUGUUCACACAAUGUAACUUCUGCCCAGUACUCUAAAUGUCAAAGUCAAGAAAUUCAACCAAGUGCUGGUAAAUGGUGAGAGUAACUAUGACUAUCUUAAGGUAGUCAAAUCCCUCGUCAUAUAAUUAGUGAUUGGCAUGAAUGGAUUAAAGAUAUUCCCACUAUCCUUGUGUACUAUCCAGUGAAACUACAGCCAAAGGAAUGGGUAUGGUAGAAUCAGCAGGGAAAGAAGACCUUGUUGAGCUUAACUCUACUCACAGUUUGUGAAAUGUCUUCAGAGGUGUAGUAUAAGUGGUAUGCAAAAUGCAAAAGUGAAUUAGCAUUACUUUUGAAGUUAUUUUGCAUAUUUCAUGAAUCGAAAGUAGGGCACUAACCCUCUUUUUGGACUUAAGUCUCACUUUGCAGGCCUAUCUGGGCAGAAAACAUUGUUAGGUGGGGAGUUUAGAUGGGGCGGAACGUCUGUGAAAACAUAACAUUGGUGUCCUAAGAAGAGAUCAAAGAGAACAAAAAUCUCAUGUGAAACAGAAGGGUAAAAACUCAUUUGAUCCUAAUUUCCAGUAUGAAUACAAACCAUGAAUGUGUGGCCUAAUGAUCCUUUAGACCUUGCAAUUUCAAGCUAGUGAUGUCAGAAACUUUACCACAUGGAUAACUGGCUUAUGGUAGCCAAGCGUUCAUAUAGAUUUUGUAAUUUAAUCUUUCGAUAUCAGCUCUUCCUAUCAUUAUGAAGCAGAAUUCACAAACUAUUGGAUUGUUCACCCACCAUUAGGGAACGUGAAAUGGGUUUAUACAUUCAUGAGACAAGUUAGUUUUACUCUACCAAUGACAGCAUCGCAAUAGUAAUUCAACCUAGUAUGAGGGAAACCAUUGAUUCACAUAAUUGUUCAUCACGCUUGAUUAAAAAGCCAGUGGAGAAAAGGUAUCAUGUGAUGGAUAAUGACUGAAUGCCACUAAGUUAAAAUUUGUGCUAAAAAUGAUGCAUGUUCCUGCCAUUCCACAAUUGGUUCCUCGGCCCUCAAGGUCACAUGUCGUUGUCUAAAUACGCCACAAACUAUUGCGGUAGCUUCCUUGAAGUACACUUUUUAUUGAGAGGCAGGUAGAAUCCUUUAUAAAUGACUUAAAUAUGCGAAGGGGUAUUGUAAGUGCUAGAGUGGACUUCCUACCUUGAUCCACUGAUAUUCAUCACUUUAUCACUUAUGUUAAUCCCUCACCUUCCA